Molecule: ribosomal RNA, 253 nt
Filed under: uncultured bacterium
Lineage: Bacteria
Description: partial 16S ribosomal RNA
Rfam family: Bacterial small subunit ribosomal RNA
Source: RNAcentral
UACGGAGGGAGCUAGCGUUGUUCGGAAUUACUGGGCGUAAAGCGCGCGUAGGCGGCUUUGUAAGUUAGAGGUGAAAGCCCGGGGCUCAACCCCGGAACUGCCUUUAAGACUGCAUCGCUUGAAUCCGGGAGAGGUGAGUGGAAUUCCGAGUGUAGAGGUGAAAUUCGUAGAUAUUCGGAAGAACACCAGUGGCGAAGGCGGCUCACUGGACCGGCAUUGACGCUGAGGUGCGAAAGCUAGGGGAGCAAACGGG